CUAAUGAAUCCUAAUUGGCUUGCUCUUUAGAACUUCAAUUUUGUGCCAAUUCAUAUCUCUAUAUAUAUAUCAAAUUGUGCUUAUUUUCUAAAAGAAUAAAAGAAAGUUUGUAAAAGAGCUCUAAGAUGUAUCAAAAACUGCAUAUUUUGGUACUUGUGCCCCAAUGCUCUUAUUAUCAUAAAAGAACUUUGAAGUCAUUAAGAACUAAUGAUCCAACAUGAUGAUAUGUUUUUCAAGUAUAUGAGUUUUGAUCUUAUAUUCUGAAAGUUAAUUAAAUUGCUCUCAUGUUGAUAAAGUACUUAAUAGAUUGGGCAAAAGAUCUUAAAUGAACAAGCUUUCAUACUUAGUAUUGAAGAGAGGUUAGAUUUCCAUUCGUGCUUUUCUUGAAUAUCAUUUGUGGGACUUCUUGAAUUAACUUAAGAAAGAUUCCACCUACACUUGAUUAGAAAACUAUCUGUGGUAUCAAAUUAGAAA
This 474-nucleotide long non-coding RNA is filed under the name Phoenix dactylifera (date palm). RNAcentral describes it as "long non-coding RNA (PDAC_LNC009943)". The record is from RNAcentral. Lineage: Eukaryota; Viridiplantae; Streptophyta; Magnoliopsida; Arecales; Arecaceae.